Molecule: ribosomal RNA, 265 nt
Filed under: uncultured archaeon
Lineage: Archaea
Description: partial 16S ribosomal RNA
Rfam family: Archaeal small subunit ribosomal RNA
Source: RNAcentral
ACACGACUACAUUAGAUACCCCCGUAGUCCUAGGCGUAAAUGAUGCGAGUUAAGUGUGGGGGCAUCUACGAGAUGGCCCUGUGCUGUAGGGUAGCCGUUAAACUCGCUGCCUGGGGAGUACGGUCGCAAGGCUGAAACUUAAAGGAAUUGGCGGGGGAGCACCGCAACGGGAGGAGCGUGCGGUUCAAUUGGAUUCAACGCCGGACAACUCACCAGGAGCGACGGUUACAUGAAGGCCAGGCUGAUGACCUUGCCUGAUUUUCCG